This is a long non-coding RNA of Pan troglodytes (chimpanzee), 366 nucleotides long. RefSeq lists it as uncharacterized. The record is from RefSeq and is a predicted model, not a curated record. NCBI's taxonomy places the organism in Eukaryota, Metazoa, Chordata, Mammalia, Primates, Hominidae. The transcript is spliced from 5 exons.
GCCCUGUGGGGAAGGUGUCUUGCUUCCCCUUCGCCUUCCACCAUGAAUAUAAGUUUCCUGAGGAUUCCCCAGCCGUGCUGAACUAGAUGGGGUCUCACUGUGUUGCCUAGGCUAGUCUCAAACUCCUGGCCUCAAACUGUCAUCCCACCUUAGCCUCCCAAAGUGCCAGGAUCACAGAUUUCUUCCACCGGUUGUGAUUUUGUCCCAGGAGAAUGUGUGCACACGGUGGCCACCAGAGGGAGCCCUUCAGCGACAGAGGAUGAGAGCUGCAGGAUGGUCAGAGGAAACCCAAUCCACAUUGGAACAAGGCUUCUUAAGACAUGGAUGUAAUUUGGUGGUGCGGAAAAAUCAGAGUGUUCAAAACAG